Molecule: non-coding RNA, 69 nt
Filed under: Alkalidesulfovibrio alkalitolerans DSM 16529
Lineage: Bacteria; Pseudomonadati; Thermodesulfobacteriota; Desulfovibrionia; Desulfovibrionales; Desulfovibrionaceae
Also listed under: 1 other name
Source: RNAcentral
AGGCGAAACCGCCCUUUUGGGCGGUCGUCCCGGCCAAUCGGCGACCGGGGCCUGAUGAGCCAGCCGAAA